This 8200-nucleotide long non-coding RNA is filed under the name Ananas comosus (pineapple). Its description in RNAcentral is "long non-coding RNA (ACOM_LNC031538)". The record is from RNAcentral. Lineage: Eukaryota; Viridiplantae; Streptophyta; Magnoliopsida; Poales; Bromeliaceae.
GAUUGAGAACAACAAUUGACUUAUUUUGGAACUGUGUAAGUGGGCUCGAAGUGAAUCGGAAGUGCCAAGUGUCACGCCCCGCCCCGAAACCACUACCAAUUUGGCACGGUUCGGUCGCGGCGACAGACCGCCGAACGGACAGCACCUCCCCUGUCCACCCAAGGCUCAACAACAGGAAUGUGUACAAGGAUUUACCCAGGACUUUAAAUUCUAAACAUACACAUUCAACGAGGGCACAAACAGUGCCAACAACGAGAAGAGCAAGUAAUCCACAAGAUAUAGUAUGUGAAAUAAAGAGAGUACUUUACUAACUAUUACAAUAGUUACAUUCUUUACAUUUACAUCAUUCUCCAAAAUGAAUACAUUUGAUCCUCAAAAUACAUAGCUCUCCAACCUCACCAUCAUGAAUCUCUCUCAAUACAUAGGUGUGCUAAUGCAAAAAGGGAAGCUACUAUACUACCACGGUCUCACUGAUCGGGCGCGAUGCCCUUGCCGCGGUCCUCUCUCGGCAACCCUGUACCUACCACUGGAAAUGGGAUGGGGUGAGAACUAUAUUCCAUAGAUUCCCAGUGGUCGGCCGCCGACUCUGCUGAUUCUCCCACUAGUGUCAAGUUGGGCAUCAGAGCAACAAACAGGUAGAUAGAUAGAUAGAUAUCUGAAAGUUUGUAAUAUGCAAGUUAGUAGCGAAAACUAUGCUUACAUAUGCCCAUAAUCAUGUAAUGUGGAUGCACUGCAUCUAAUAAAUAAGUUUUUACCAGGGCUAACAGAUGUCAUAUCCAUGUUCGAAUAGCUUAGUGUUCAAUGACAUUUAUUAACAACCUUAACUCUUUAUUUACCCAAUCUGUGGCGAGGCCUUAGGGCUGGCCAAUUACUCAGUCUUCAAAUCCCAAAGUGUGGGAAGUGGAGCUCCAAGUGACACCAGCCCGGGACCGUCUGGGGACUCAUUGGUCCGGACCUCCAAGUGGUCCUAGUUCGCGGUGACACUCGCGGACACUCGACGACAAUCCCUCCUAUGUGGGGAAUUGGAUGGCUAUACACCCUAACGCGACUGUGAGCCUAAUCUAUCCUCGAGUGAGGGAUACACUUGACAACUAGGUCAACACCAAGUCGCAGAUCUCUCAAGUAAUGGAGGCUCUACAACAGCUAGCGCUCACAUAAUCCAACUCGAAUCCUCUCCAAGUGAGGAAGCACUCUAUAACUAGAGUCAACAUCUCUCGCGGGAUCAUUUGUUCCCGACAUCCAUGCAAUGCUAUUUAGUUUUCUAAAUUCAUUGUUCACAAGGCAUUUUCUAAGGGAUCCACCUAUCCCUAGGUCCAUCGACCUCUAGUGUCAUUUACACUACAUUAAUGCCACUCGUCAUCAUUUAACAUUUGGAUGCCACUCGUGUGUUCUUUAACACUAAACACUACUUUCUAUGUCAUCAAUACCCCCAUCGGGUUCACCUCUUUUCUUUUACAUCAUAGGAUCCACGUUCCGACCCAAUCCUCACCUAUCUAAGUUACCAAGCGUUCCAAGUACACUAGGUUAUCAUUUAGAAAGCAUAAGGAAUGGAGCUACUAUGCAAUCCUACAAUGCAACAUGAAGAGAUGAGAUCAAAUGCAAUCUAAGACAUAGAAAGGAGUUCGAAAGCUUCGGGAUGACACCCCCCACCUUUUACCAACGUAGAGGUUUUAGAAGCGCUCCUCGACGAGCUUUACGAAAAGGCUUUUGCCUUCCCUAAUCCAAGAUAGCGCCGAAACGACCGUAAUUCGCCGAUUGUUCUAAGUCCGCUCGACGAAUCGCGAAAUCGACUUCGCCCCCGCGUUUGGGCACCUAUCGAUGAGGUUUACAAGGCCUCAAAUGAGAUCAAUCUCAUACUUUACAAAAUGCCCCCAUUUGGAGCCCUAGGUUUGCACAUAUAGCAAACCACCAAUAAAAUCCUAGAUUCUUGGGAUUGAUCUACUUAGAAGCAUGCUUGGGGUCCAUUUGACCCAUUCCAAAGCAUAAAAACCCAAAGCCCUAAGUUUACAAAGUAGGGUUUAGUAGCUUACCUCAAGAGCUACACCAAUGGGAAGAGGAGAGGGAGAUGGAGGUGCUCCAAGCCUUCCUCUUGAUCUCCUUCUUUUUCUCCUUCCUUAUCUUCUUCCUCUUUUCCUUCCUCUCCUUCUUGUUCUCCUUCUCCUUCUUUCCUUUCUAGAGAGAGAGGGAGAGAAAUAGAGAGAUGAGAGUGAGAGAGAGGAAUGAGAGAGUGUGAGGGAGAGAGAGGGCCCAGCCCACUCUAAUAAAGGCCAUUUUGCAUUUAGACCCCUCAACUUUUAACCCCUUGCGCAGCCCUCGCUGGGCAGUUUUCGUGCAGAGGGACCGGUCUCCCCGACUUGGGACCGGUCCCCGAGAGCUUCCCUCGGGCGCACGCGUUCGGGUACCGGUCUCUCCCCGGGAGACCGGUCCUCGGGAGACAGGUCCUCGCCUGAGAGACCGGUCCCCGAGAGCUCAAUUUUCAGGACUUAGCCAAAUCUCGGCAUUUCUCGCUGGAACCACGUUCGGGAACCGGUCCCUCACUGCCAGGGACCGGUUGCACCAUGCAACCCCGCACGCCCAGCCGAUGGGACCGGUCUCUCACCUCCAGAGACCGGUCCCCGAGAGCAACUUCAGCCCAAUAAUGCUGUUUGCAUCGUUAGCUCUCGUGGACUCAACUCCAAAGCACUUUUUGUGUUUUGGACAUUUUUAACUUCCCCAGAGGGUAUUCUCUCAACAAAUAGUCGAUCCUGGACGAAGUAUAACUCUCGAAUUUCGAGAAUUCACUUCCUUACAUUCUCCCCUCCUUAAAAGGAGUUUCGUCCUCGAAACGAACAAAUUCUUUAACUUUUAAUUUAAACUUAUACCUCACUCCUCAAACAGAUGAGGAUGGUGCUUUCUCAUCAGAUCCUCGAGUUCCCAGGUGGCCUCGCGAUCAUCAUGAUUGCUCCACCUGACCUUUACAUAGGGAAUUUCUCGAUUCCUCAACUUUCGCACCUCUCGGGCGAUAAUUCCUACCGGAAACUCUUCAUAGCUCAAGUCUCCUUGAAGUUCCGGCGGUUCAUAUAGCAUCGCAUGCUCCGGGUCGUGAAUAUACUUGCGGAGAUUGGAGACAUGGAACACAUUGUGCACAUCCGCAAGUUUCGGCGGUAAAGCAAGCCGAUACGCCACCGUACCAACUCGCUCCAAUAUCUCAUAUGGCCCAAUGUACCGGGGACUCAGUUUUCCCCGUACUCCAAACCGCUUCACACCACGCAUUGGUGAAACCUUCAGAAAUACGCGGUAACCCACCGCGAACUCUAUAUCUCGUCGGCGCCUAUCUGCAUAGCUUUGCUACCUCGACUGCGCCGUGAGCAAUCUCUUGCGAGCAAGGCGGACUUUCUCCUCCGCUUCUCGCAACACAUCAGGGCCGAACUCUGCCCGUUCACCUACAUCGCUCCAAUGUAUAGGAGACCGACACGUCCGCCCAUAAAGAGCUUCGAACGGUGCCAUCUCUAUACUCGCAUGAUAACUGUUAUUGUAGGCGAACUCGGCCAUAGGUAGGUGAUCACACCAACUUCCCUUAUAGUCGAUGACACACGCUCGCAACAUAUCCUCCAGAGUUUGAAUGGUUCUCUCUGUUUGCCCAUCGGUUUGAGGAUGAAAUGCGGUACUAAAAUCGAGCCGUGUGCCAAGGGCUUCUUGCAGGCUUUUCCAAAAGUGUGAAGUGAACCGGGGGUCACGAUCCGACACGAUCGAUUUCGGCACCCCAUGCAGUCUCACUAUCUCGUCAAGAUAUACCCGCGCUAACUUGUCACCCGACCACGUGGUGUGGAUCGGCAAGAAGUGAGCCGACUUCGUCAAUCGGUCCACAAUUACCCAAAUUGCAUCGUGGCCGCCCGUUGAGCGAGGCAAGCUGACCACGAAGUCCAUCGAUAUAUCUUCCCAUUUCCAAACGGGGAUUGGUAGGCUUUGAAGCUUUCCCGCUGGAAAUCUACGCUCUGCCUUCACUUGCUGGCAUGUUAAGCACUUCGCCACAAAGCGUCCAACAUCACCCUUCAUUCCCGGCCACCAAUAGUGCAUUUUUAGUCCUUGAUACAUCUUGGUGCCGCCCGGGUGAUCAGCAUACGGAGAUCUGUGUGCUUCUUGUAGAAUCAACUCGCGAAGCUCUCCAUCCUUCGGCACACACCAUCGGUUUCUAAACCGAAGCGCACCAUCGGCGUUUAUACUAAAAUCGCCGCCUCGACCAUCCUCGAUGUUUCGCCGCACCUUCUGGAGUUCUGGGUCCGCAGGUUGCAGAUCUUUAAUCCUCUCCAACAAGGUCGGUUGGACAACGAGUGCCAUCAACUGGGCUGGAAUCUCGGGAGGAACCACUUCAAGGUCCAAUCGCUUCAUAUCCAGCCACAGGGGUGUUUGCUGGGUAACAUCAAAAGCGAGAUUCUUCGCCGACUUUCUACUCAGCGCAUCCGCAACCACAUUUGCCUUCCCGGGGUGGUAGAGGAUAUCGACAUCAUAAUCCUUUAACAACUCCAACCACCGCCGCUGACGCAUAUUGAGCUCCUUCUGAGUAAACAAGUACCUUAAGCUCUUGUGGUCGGUAUAAAUCUCACAAUGGGCACCAUAUAAGUAGUGCCUCCACAGCUUCAGGGCGAAAAUUACCGCCGCCAGCUCCAAGUCGUGGAUGGGGUAAUUCUUCUCAUAGCUCUUCAGCUGACGGGAUGCAUAAGCAAUCACCUUCCUGUUUUGCAUCAAUACACACCCCAACCCAAGAUAGGAAGCAUCACUGUAGACUACGAAGUCUUCGCCUUCCACCGGUAGAGCGAGCACCGGAGUUGAAGUCAAUCUUUGCUUCAACUCUUUGAAACUUCGGUCGCACUCCUCGCUCCAAACAAACUUGGUGCCUUUCUGGGUCAGGCGGGUAAGUGGAAUUACUAUCUUGGAGAAGCCUUCCACAAACCGCCUAUAAUAGCCCGCCAAGCCCACGAAGCUUCGAACCUCCGUGACGUUCGUCGGGCGCGGCCAAUCCUUGAUUGCCUCAACUUUCCUCGGGUCUACUGAAACUCCACCCGCGGAAAUCACAUGCCCUAAGAAGGCGACUUCGCGAAGCCAGAAGUCACACUUCUUUAGCUUAGCAUAUAGCUUCUCCUCCCGAAGGACUUGAAGCAGUUUCCUCAAAUGUUCGGCAUGUUCCUCGUCACUUCGAGAAUAGACCAAUAUGUCGUCUAUAAAGACCACGACAAAUUGGUCCAGAUACUCUCUGAAGACACGGUUCAUCAAAUCCAUAAACGCCGCUGGAGCAUUCGUGAGUCCAAAUGGCAUAACCGUGAACUCGUAGUGUCCAUACCGCGUACGAAACGCGGUCCUUUGCACAUCCUCCGGUUUGAUCUUCAAUUGAUGGUAGCCGGAUUACAAGUCUAUUUUCGAGUACACACACGACCCUUGCAACUGAUCGAACAGGUCAUCGAUUCAGGGUAGUGGGUACUUGUUCUUGAUCGUGACUCUAUUCAAUUCUCGAUAAUCCACGCAGAGCCUAAACGAUCCAUCCUUCUUCCUCACGAAUAACACCGGGGCUCCCCACGGUGAUACACUCGGCCGGAUAAAUUGCUUGUCAAGGAGGUCUUGUAGUUGACUCCUCAACUCCCUUAGUUCCGCCGGCGCCAUUCGGUACGGAGCCUUCGAGAUCGGCGCGGUACCGGGAACCAAGUCUAUGACGAACUCGAUCUCCCGAUCCGGUGGUAUCCCCAGCAACUCUGCGGGAAACACAUCCGGGAACUCCCGCACUACCGAGAUCUCCUCCAACAUUGGAGUGACUCGUUCCACCUCUACAACGGUCGCCAAGAACGCUGCACAACCGUUGCUCACCAACUUUCUUGCUCUCGUCGCCGACACCGUCGCGACGAAACACGUGCUCUGGCAAGCUCGAUAGGUGAAUUCUUUCUGUCCUGGCCCACGAAACGUGAUCACCCUGCUCUUGCAGUCAAUCGUGGCGUGGUAUUUCGAGAGCCAGUCCAUACCCAGAAUAACAUCAUAAGCCUCAAGCUUCUGGAGUCCUAGUGUCCGAAUAGGCAUUAUCCAUUCGCCUAUUUGUACCGGACACGAGGCGCACUCUGUGUAGGUAUUGAAUGUCGAUCCAGGGCCCUCCACUCGCCACUUGUCACUCGCUUCUAUAUGUAUGCCAUGCAUGCGUGCGAAUGAUCUACUUAUGAAUGAAUGCGUGGCUCCUGUAUCAAAUAGAGCCCUGGAGCGAACUCCGUUAAUCAAAACCAUACCUGCCACAAGGCGAUGCUCCUCCGCCUCCGCAGGUUCCUCGGCCUGAACCUGAGCUGCAAAUACCCGUCCGCUCGGGGCCGAUCGCGCCAUCUCAGGUUGACGCGGUGUCAUCGCGCGUCCUGUCGACGCGGCCGUCGGUGGAGCUCCUCCAUAAUAUGCCGGAAUCGCCGGCGCCGAUGCAAUCGAUGGGGCAGGUGAGGCUCCUCCUCCCGGGCAGUCCCGAAUGAAGUGCCCCGGUUGCCCACACUUGUAGCACUUGCCCCGGCCUUGUUCACAGCGCGAAACUGGGUGGUCUCCGCAGCAUACAAUGCAUCGCCGCGCUCCACCGUUUUUCUGUUGAGCGCGCGGGUACUUCGGGGGUCUCUUAUAACGUGCUUGACCACCCGAACUACCGCCGCCUUGGCGUUUCUUGCCCUUAUCCUUGGACUCCGCCAAAAGCUCACGCUUCUCCCGCACGUGGGCAUCUCCGUGCUCCGCCCAUAGGGCUCGAUCAAAGACCUCAGCAAAGGUCGUGAGCUUGAGUAUUUGCACGGCCUUGUAGAUUCCCGGCCGAAGUCCUCGCAAGAACCACUCGGCCCGGUCCCGGUCAUCCUUUACAACAUCCGGGACACAAUCUAUGAUGUGGGAGAAUUCCUGUUCAUACUCCGCCACUGGGCGGUCCCCUUGCUCUAGCUUGCCGAACUUCUCCUUGAGCUUCCGCUUCAAUGUAUCGGGGAAGUAGUUGGCGAACAUCUCCCGCUUGAAUUCCUCCCACAGCAUCGGCGGAAGGCCGGGAAGCCGAUCCCACUUGACGCGCUUCCACCAAACCUUUGCCGCCCUUUCCAAGCAAUGGGUGGCGAGAUACACCUUGUCCCUCUCCAAGGUACGCAAGUCGUCGAAGAGGGUUUCCAUCGAGUCGAUCCAAGACUCGACCAUUGCCGGUUCCACCUUCUCACCCUCAAAGGUCGGCGGAUGGAACUUGUUGAACUUGAUAAGAGCCGCUAGCGCACGCUCUCCUUCCACGUCUUCGGCCGUCACGUCGGGUGUAGUCGAUCCCGACGCCGCCGGUGGCACGAUCGCCGGCGGGGGACGCGCCGCCACCGGGACCGCCGCUAUGCCCUCACCCUCAGCUGGCUCAGGUACACGAGCCGAGGGCGCGGGCACAUCGCGUCCGUCCGUCGCCGUUGCGGCCGCUGCCGCUGCCUGCCGCUCCAAGAGCUCCUGGAGCCGCUCGAAUCGGUUCUCCUGGCGCUGCACCACAUCGGUCAGCGCGGACACUUGCGCUUGCAACCGAUCCAUCACGCUCGGUUCUCCCUGCUCGGGCACCUCAGGAGUCGGUGCCGGAGUAGAUCUACGUGUGUAGCGUCUUGGAGACAUUAGUCCCUGAAACGCAAAUACUCGGUUAAUCAUCUUAACCCGUUAACCUCGUCGCAAUUACGACACAUGACAACUUAAUGGCAAAAUCGGGCGGAAGCAUACAAGUGUACUCGUUCUAGGCUCUUGGCAUCAUGUCGUCGGCCGCCGACACAACCACCUCAAGAUAAGAACUUAUACCACUUGAAUUCGUCUCUAAUCACAACUAGAGACCUAUACCCACUUCGACCCAAUCGAAUUGACUUCCGCCAUCGUUAUAGGUUCACGUUCCGCUCACGCACCUAUAACCUUAGGGCUCACCAACCUAGGGUCUCCUAGGUCAUCCUAGACUUUCUCUCUUUACUUGCUCUCAUUGCUCUGAUACCACAAAAGACUGUCACGCCCCGCCCCGAAGCCACUACCAAUUUGUCACGGUUCGGUCGCGGCGACAGACCGCCGAACGGACAGCACCUCCCCUAUCCGCCCAAGGCUCAACAACAGGAAUGUGUACAAGAAUUUACCCAGGACUUUAAAUUCUAAACAUACACAUUCAACGAGGGCACAAACAGUGCCAACAACGAGAAGAGCAAGUAAUCCACAAGAUAUACGAGUGAAAUAAAGAGAG